This 2037-nucleotide ribosomal RNA is filed under the name Salmonella enterica. RNAcentral describes it as "partial 23S ribosomal RNA". It matches the Rfam family "Bacterial large subunit ribosomal RNA", at positions 808 to 2824 of the family's 2925-position model. Lineage: Bacteria; Pseudomonadati; Pseudomonadota; Gammaproteobacteria; Enterobacterales; Enterobacteriaceae. The record is from RNAcentral.
CCUGUGGCUGGGGGUGAAAGGCCAAUCAAACCGGGAGAUAGCUGGUUCUCCCCGAAAGCUAUUUAGGUAGCGCCUCGUGAAUUCAUCUCCGGGGGUAGAGCACUGUUUCGGCUAGGGGGCCAUCCCGGCUUACCAACCCGAUGCAAACUGCGAAUACCGGAGAAUGUUAUCACGGGAGACACACGGCGGGUGCUAACGUCCGUCGUGAAGAGGGAAACAACCCAGACCGCCAGCUAAGGUCCCAAAGUCAUGGUUAAGUGGGAAACGAUGUGGGAAGGCCCAGACAGCCAGGAUGUUGGCUUAGAAGCAGCCAUCAUUUAAAGAAAGCGUAAUAGCUCACUGGUCGAGUCGGCCUGCGCGGAAGAUGUAACGGGGCUAAACCAUGCACCGAAGCUGCGGCAGCGACACUCAGGUGUUGUUGGGUAGGGGAGCGUUCUGUAAGCCUGCGAAGGUGGCCUGUGAGGGUUGCUGGAGGUAUCAGAAGUGCGAAUGCUGACAUAAGUAACGAUAAAGCGGGUGAAAAGCCCGCUCGCCGGAAGACCAAGGGUUCCUGUCCAACGUUAAUCGGGGCAGGGUGAGUCGACCCCUAAGGCGAGGCCGAAAGGCGUAGUCGAUGGGAAACGGGUUAAUAUUCCCGUACUUGGUGUUACUGCGAAGGGGGGACGGAGAAGGCUAUGUUGGCCGGGCGACGGUUGUCCCGGUUUAAGCGUGUAGGUGUGUGUUCCAGGUAAAUCCGGUUCACUUUAACACUGAGGCGUGACGACGAGGCACUACGGUGCUGAAGCAACAAAUGCCCUGCUUCCAGGAAAAGCCUCUAAGCAUCAGGUAACAUCAAAUCGUACCCCAAACCGACACAGGUGGUCAGGUAGAGAAUACCAAGGCGCUUGAGAGAACUCGGGUGAAGGAACUAGGCAAAAUGGUGCCGUAACUUCGGGAGAAGGCACGCUGACACGUAGGUGAAGUGAUUUACUCAUGGAGCUGAAGUCAGUCGAAGAUACCAGCUGGCUGCAACUGUUUAUUAAAAACACAGCACUGUGCAAACACGAAAGUGGACGUAUACGGUGUGACGCCUGCCCGGUGCCGGAAGGUUAAUUGAUGGGGUCAGCGCAAGCGAAGCUCCUGAUCGAAGCCCCGGUAAACGGCGGCCGUAACUAUAACGGUCCUAAGGUAGCGAAAUUCCUUGUCGGGUAAGUUCCGACCUGCACGAAUGGCGUAAUGAUGGCCAGGCUGUCUCCACCCGAGACUCAGUGAAAUUGAACUCGCUGUGAAGAUGCAGUGUACCCGCGGCAAGACGGAAAGACCCCGUGAACCUUUACUAUAGCUUGACACUGAACAUUGAGCCUUGAUGUGUAGGAUAGGUGGGAGGCUUUGAAGUGUGGACGCCAGUCUGCAUGGAGCCGGCCUUGAAAUACCACCCUUUAAUGUUUGAUGUUCUAACGUGGACCCGUGAUCCGGGUUGCGGACAGUGUCUGGUGGGUAGUUUGACUGGGGCGGUCUCCUCCUAAAGAGUAACGGAGGAGCACGAAGGUUGGCUAAUCCUGGUCGGACAUCAGGAGGUUAGUGCAAUGGCAUAAGCCAGCUUGACUGCGAGCGUGACGGCGCGAGCAGGUGCGAAAGCAGGUCAUAGUGAUCCGGUGGUUCUGAAUGGAAGGGCCAUCGCUCAACGGAUAAAAGGUACUCCGGGGAUAACAGGCUGAUACCGCCCAAGAGUUCAUAUCGACGGCGGUGUUUGGCACCUCGAUGUCGGCUCAUCACAUCCUGGGGCUGAAGUAGGUCCCAAGGGUAUGGCUGUUCGCCAUUUAAAGUGGUACGCGAGCUGGGUUUAGAACGUCGUGAGACAGUUCGGUCCCUAUCUGCCGUGGGCGCUGGAGAACUGAGGGGGGCUGCUCCUAGUACGAGAGGACCGGAGUGGACGCAUCACUGGUGUUCGGGUUGUCAUGCCAAUGGCACUGCCCGGUAGCUAAAUGCGGAAGAGAUAAGUGCUGAAAGCAUCUAAGCACGAAACUUGCCCCGAGAUGAGUUCUCCCUGAGACUUAG